CAUUACUGAAGCAAAUUGGGAAAAGGGAUGUUGCUGGCCUCCCUCGGGAGGCAGCGUGCACUCCCCUUUCCCCUUAAGCAUUCACAUAAAAAUUUCCAUCACACAAAACCGUGCACUUACCUGUAGGGAAUUCUCAGAGGCAUCUUCGGGUCCUCUUGGCUUCCCUAUGUCAUUUCAUGUCACACGAGUUCUCUGAGAAUGUAUCUGUCAAAGGAAAAGUAAUCACAGAACAACUUUCAACAACGGAUCUCUUGGCUCUCGCAUCGAUGAAGAACGCAGCGAAAUGCGAUACGUAAUGUGAAUUGCAGAAUUCCGUGAAUCAUUGAAUCUUUGAACGCAUCUUGCGCCUCUUGGUAUUCCGAGGGGCAUGCCUGUUUGAGUGUCAUUAGAACUAUCAAAAAACAAUGGUUUCGAUCAUUAUUUUUUGGAAUUGGAGGUGGUGCCCUGGGUCUUUUGAGAAAAAGACUCCCCGAGCUCCUCUGAAAUGCAUUAGCGAAAUGCAGUGCACUUUCUUCUCCUUGGGGCAUUGAUAAGUUACUUUCAUGUCCUAAGCUGCGGGGAGGAAGUCACAGAAUGCUUUCUUGCUCCUGAACGUGUAAAUCUUGACAACCAAAGCCCUCAAAUCAGGCAGGACUACCC
Molecule: ribosomal RNA, 639 nt
Filed under: uncultured Basidiomycota
Lineage: Eukaryota; Fungi; Basidiomycota
Description: eukaryotic LSU rRNA
Rfam family: 5.8S ribosomal RNA (bases 232-385)
Source: RNAcentral